This 1959-nucleotide ribosomal RNA is filed under the name human gut metagenome. Its description in RNAcentral is "bacterial LSU rRNA". It matches the Rfam family "Bacterial large subunit ribosomal RNA", at positions 1 to 1984 of the family's 2925-position model. The record is from RNAcentral.
GAAAGUAAGCAAGGGCAGACGGUGGAUGCCUUGGCUCUCGGAGGCGACGAAGGACGUGAUAAGCUGCGAAAAGCCCGGGGGAGGCGCAAAUAGCCGUUGAUCCCGGGAUAUCCGAAUGGGGCAACCCGGCAGGCUGAAGGCCUGCCAUCCCGUAAGGGAGGCGAACGUGGGGAACUGAAACAUCUAAGUACCCAUAGGAGGAGAAAAUAAACAAUGAUUCCGUAAGUAGUGGCGAGCGAACACGGAAGAGCCCAAACCCAUGUCGUCUAGGCGACACGGGGGUUGUAGGACCACGACGUGGCAAGAGGAUGGCAAGUGGAACGCCUUGGAAAGGGCGACCGUAGAGGGUGAUAGUCCCGUACACGACUGCCUGCCGAAGCCUAGUGGCAUCCUGAGUAGCGCGGGGCACGAGAAAUCUUGCGUGAAACUGCGGGGCCCAUCCCGUAAGGCUAAAUACUCCCGAGAGACCGAUAGCGAACCAGUACCGUGAGGGAAAGGUGAAAAGAACCCCGAGCAGGGGAGUGAAAUAGACCCUGAACCCGUCUGCCUACAAGCGGUCGGAGCGUUGUUAUGACGUGACGGCGUGCCUUUUGCAUAAUGAACCUACGAGUUACCUUCCCCGGCAAGGUUAAGUACCUAAGGUACGGAGCCGAAGCGAAAGCGAGUCUGAAGAGGGCGGCCAGUCGGGGGGGGUAGACGCGAAACCGAGUGAUCUACCCUUGGCCAGGUUGAAGGUUGGGUAACACCAACUGGAGGACCGGAUGGGUAAGCGUUGAAAAGCUUUCCAAUGAGCUGAGGGUAGGGGUGAAAGGCUAAUCAAACUCGGAGAUAGCUCGUACUCCCCGAAAUGCAUUUAGGUGCAGCCUCUUUAUAGUAUAUCGUGAGGUAGAGCGACUGAUUGGAUGCGAGGGCUUCACCGCCUAUCAAGUCCAGAUAAACUCCGAAUGCGCGAUAUAUAUUUAAAGGGAGUGAGGGCGCGGGUGCUAAGGUCCGUGUCCGAGAGGAGAAGAAUCCAGACCACCGGCUAAGGCCCCCAAAUGAUCGUUGAGUUGAACUAACGAGGUCGGAUCGCAGAGACAGCUAGGAUGUUGGCUUGGAAGCAGCCAUUCAUUUAAAGAGUGCGUAACAGCUCACUAGUCGAGCGAUCUGGCGUGGAUAAUAAUCGGGCAUAAACGAUCUGCCGAAGCCGUGGAUGUCGUAAGACAUGGUAGGGGAGCAUUCCAUGCCGCGUCGAAGAUGAGGGAUGACCCUUGUUGGAGCGCAUGGAAAAGCAAAUGUAGGUAUGAGUAACGAUAAGGGGGGCGAGAAACCCCCCCGCCGAAAGACCAAGGUUUCCUGAUCAACGCUAAUCGGAUCAGGGUGAGUCGGGACCUAAGGCAAAGCCGAACGGCGCCGCCGAUGGAAGAAUGGGUUAAUAUUCCCAUACUGCCUCAUGGAGUGACGUGGAGACGGAGAAGUGACAGUCCUGCCGGCUGACGGAAUAGCCGGUUGAAGGGUGUAGAUAUUGAUUCCCGUAGGCAAAUCCGCGGGGAGAGUCGAACCUGAGAGUAUACGGAGCGCUUGCGCGACGUAAUAUGGACGUAACCAUGCUCCCAAGAAAAUCCGCUAAACUUAUCCAUGCGGCACCCGUACCGUAAACGGACACACGUGGUCGGGUUGAGAAUACUGAGGCGCUCGAGUGACUCACGGUUAAGGAACUAGGCAAAUUGACCCUGUAACUUCGGGAUAAAGGGUCCUCGUCGUAAGGCGAGGCGCAGAGAAUAGGUCCAGGCAACUGUUUAACAAAAACACAUGGCUGUGCUAAAUGGAAACAUGACGUAUACAGCCUGACACCUGCCCGGUGCUGGAAGGUUAAGAGGAGAUGUCAUCGCGAGAGAAGCGUUGAAUUGAAGCCCCAGUAAACGGCGGCCGUAACUAUAACGGUCCUAAGGUAGCGAAAUUCCUUGUCGGGUAAGUUCC